GACGAACGCUGGCGGCGUGCCUAAUACAUGCAAGUCGAGCGAGCGGAACCAACAGAUUUACUUCGGUAAUGACGUUGGGAAAGCGAGCGGCGGAUGGGUGAGUAACCCGUGGGGAACCUGCCCCUAAGUCUGGGAUACCAUUUGGAAACAGGUGCUAAUACCGGAUAAGAAAGCAGAUCGCAUGAUCAGCUUUUAAAAGGCGGCGUAAGCUGUCGCUAAGGGAUGGCCCCGCGGUGCAUUAGCUAGUUGGUAAGGUAACGGCUUACCAAGGCAACGAUGCAUAGCCGAGUUGAGAGACUGAUCGGCCACAUUGGGACUGAGACACGGCCCAAACUCCUACGGGAGGCAGCAGUAGGGAAUCUUCCACAAUGGACGAAAGUCUGAUGGAGCAACGCCGCGUGAGUGAAGAAGGUUUUCGGAUCGUAAAGCUCUGUUGUUGGUGAAGAAGGAGAGAGGUAGUAACUGGCCUUGAUUUGACGGUAAUCAACCAGAAAGUCACGGCUAACUACGUG
RNAcentral lists this ribosomal RNA (512 nucleotides) under uncultured bacterium. RNAcentral's name for it is "partial 16S ribosomal RNA". It matches the Rfam family "Bacterial small subunit ribosomal RNA", at positions 28 to 507 of the family's 1533-position model. The record is from RNAcentral.